GAUGAGCGCUGGCGGCGUGCCUAAUACAUGCAAGUCGAGCGAACGGACGAGGAGCUUGCUCCUUUGACGUUAGCGGCGGACGGGUGAGUAACACGUGGAUAACCUACCUAUAAGACUGGGAUAACUUCGGGAAACCGGAGCUAAUACCGGAUAAUAUAUUGAACCGCAUGGUUCAAUAGUGAAAGACGGUUUUGCUGUCACUUAUAGAUGGAUCCGCGCCGCAUUAGCUAGUUGGUAAGGUAACGGCUUACCAAGGCAACGAUGCGUAGCCGACCUGAGAGGGUGAUCGGCCACACUGGAACUGAGACACGGUCCAGACUCCUACGGGAGGCAGCAGUAGGGAAUCUUCCGCAAUGGGCGAAAGCCUGACGGAGCAACGCCGCGUGAGUGAUGAAGGUCUUCGGAUCGUAAAACUCUGUUAUUAGGGAAGAACAAAUGUGUAAGUAACUAUGCACGUCUUGACGGUACCUAAUCAGAAAGCCACGGCUAACUACGUG
Molecule: ribosomal RNA, 497 nt
Filed under: uncultured bacterium
Lineage: Bacteria
Description: partial 16S ribosomal RNA
Rfam family: Bacterial small subunit ribosomal RNA
Source: RNAcentral